GGCGUGUGACUGCGUACCUUUUGUAUAAUGGGUCAGCGACUUAUAUUCUGUAGCAAGGUUAACCGAAUAGGGGAGCCGAAGGGAAACCGAGUCUUAACUGGGCGUUAAGUUGCAGGGUAUAGACCCGAAACCCGGUGAUCUAGCCAUGGGCAGGUUGAAGGUUGGGUAACACUAACUGGAGGACCGAACCGACUAAUGUUGAAAAAUUAGCGGAUGACUUGUGGCUGGGGGUGAAAGGCCAAUCAAACCGGGAGAUAGCUGGUUCUCCCCGAAAGCUAUUUAGGUAGCGCCUCGUGAAUUCAUCUCCGGGGGUAGAGCACUGUUUCGGCAAGGGGGUCAUCCCGACUUACCAACCCGAUGCAAACUGCGAAUACCGGAGAAUGUUAUCACGGGAGACACACGGCGGGUGCUAACGUCCGUCGUGAAGAGGGAAACAACCCAGACCGCCAGCUAAGGUCCCAAAGUCAUGGUUAAGUGGGAAACGAUGUGGGAAGGCCCAGACAGCCAGGAUGUUGGCUUAGAAGCAGCCAUCAUUUAAAGAAAGCGUAAUAGCUCACUGGUCGAGUCGGCCUGCGCGGAAGAUGUAACGGGGCUAAACCAUGCACCGAAGCUGCGGCAGCGACGCUGAUGCGUUGUUGGGUAGGGGAGCGUUCUGUAAGCCUGCGAAGGU
This 670-nucleotide ribosomal RNA is filed under the name Escherichia coli. RNAcentral's name for it is "partial 23S ribosomal RNA". It matches the Rfam family "Bacterial large subunit ribosomal RNA", at positions 588 to 1257 of the family's 2925-position model. The record is from RNAcentral. Lineage: Bacteria; Pseudomonadati; Pseudomonadota; Gammaproteobacteria; Enterobacterales; Enterobacteriaceae.